RNAcentral lists this ribosomal RNA (484 nucleotides) under uncultured bacterium. Its description in RNAcentral is "partial 16S ribosomal RNA". It matches the Rfam family "Bacterial small subunit ribosomal RNA", at positions 29 to 523 of the family's 1533-position model. The record is from RNAcentral.
AGUGAACGCUGGCGGCGUGCUUAACACAUGCAAGUCGAACGAGAACGGGUUAUAGCUUGCUAUAAUUGUCAGCUAAGUGGCGCACGGGUGAGUAAUGUAUAGGUAAUAUGCCUCUUAUUAAGGGAUAACAAAUGGAAACGUUUGCUAAUACCUUAUACUCCUUAUUAACAGAAGUUAAUAAGGGAAAGAUUUAUUGGUAAGAGAUUAGCCUGUAUUGUAUCAGUUAGUUGGUGAGGUAAUGGCUUACCAAGACUAUGACACAUAACUGGUUUGGGAGGAUGAUCAGUCACACUGGAACUGAGACACGGUCCAGACUCCUACGGGAGGCAGCAGUGGGGGAUAUUGCACAAUGGACGAAAGUCUGAUGCAGCAACGCCGCGUGGAGGAUGACACAUUUCGGUGCGUAAACUCCUUUUAUAUGAGAAGAUAAUGACGGUAUUAUAUGAAUAAGCACCGGCUAACUCCGUGCCAGCCGCCGCCGUAA